GGUGACAAGUUAAUUUUCUUGACUGGAUCACAUGAUGCAGAACUAAUAAUUUAAUUUUAUAAGCAGGGUCAGGCCUGGUUAGUACUUGGAUGGGAGACUACCUAGGAAGACCUGGUGCUGUAGACG
Pteropus vampyrus (large flying fox) is the source of this 126-nucleotide ribosomal RNA. Lineage: Eukaryota; Metazoa; Chordata; Mammalia; Chiroptera; Pteropodidae. The record is from Ensembl.